UCUGGCUUAGUUUAUUAGAAAAUAUUACGUUGUGGGUGUAAAGAGAGGCGGUGCUUAGUUAGAA
Molecule: transfer RNA, 64 nt
Filed under: Panopea abrupta
Lineage: Eukaryota; Metazoa; Mollusca; Bivalvia; Adapedonta; Hiatellidae
Also listed under: 1 other name
Description: tRNA-His
Source: RNAcentral